This 71-nucleotide transfer RNA is filed under the name Ipomoea nil (Japanese morning glory). It matches the Rfam family "tRNA". From Rfam's summary of the family: Transfer RNA (tRNA) molecules are approximately 80 nucleotides in length. Lineage: Eukaryota; Viridiplantae; Streptophyta; Magnoliopsida; Solanales; Convolvulaceae. The record is from Rfam by way of RNAcentral.
GCGCAUUUAGUGUAGUGGUAUCAUAGUACCCUCCCAAGGUAUUGACCGGGGUUUAACUCCCCGAAUUCGCA